AUGGCCGCCGCGGUUUCUGUGACAGGCCCGAUCACGUGGGCGCCGCCGCCUAUGAGGUCGCGGGAGCUCGAGCGGCGAUUGUCCCUUCCCGGGCCCCGUCCCGAGGCGGCGACUGCCCUUGUCAACCCAAGCCUGAGCGAUCAUGGCAACGGGCUCGGGCGGGGAGCGCGUGGCAGCGGCGGCAGCGGCGGCAGUUUGGUCGCGGGCCGGGGCGGCGGAGCGGCGGCGGCGGCGGUGGCACUGGCGCUGGCACCGGCCCUGAGCGCCAUGCAGCGGGGCAGCUCCGAGAGGGAGCUGGCGGCCCGGUGGGAGGCGGAGGCGGUGGCCGUGACCAAAGCGCUGGCGGCGGCGGAGCAGGUCCGCGUGGACUCGGGCGCGGCCGGGGAGCCGGAACGCAAGACGCCAGAGGAGCAGCCCAAGGACCCGGCCCCGGCGCAGCCCCGCGCGGCCGAGGAGGGGGACGCCCGCGUCGUCCCGCGGCCGCCGCCCACGCUGCCCCUGGCCAAGCCGCAGGCGGCGCGGGCGCGGGGCCUCUGCCCGCACGGGAAGCCCCGGAGCAAGGGCCGGGGCGACCGACGGAGCUCAGGCCGCGCGGCGGACGAGUACCACUCCCAGCGGCCCGUCACUGUGGACAGCUCCAAGGCCAGGACCUCCCUGGACGCCUUGAAGAUCAGCAUCCGCCAGCUCAAGUGGAAGGAGUUCCCAUUUGGCCGACGCUUGCCUUGUGACAUCUACUGGCAUGGAGUUUCAUUUCAUGACAAUGACAUAUUCUCCGGCCAAGUGAACAAGUUUCCAGGCAUGACGGAGAUGGUGCGUAAAAUUACUCUGAGCAGAGCCGUGAGAAUCAUGCAGAAUCUCUUUCCUGAGGAGUACAACUUCUACCCUCGCUCAUGGAUUCUGCCUGACGAGUUCCAGCUCUUUGUGGCUCAGGUUCGAAUGGUGAAAGACGGUGACCCAUCCUGGAAGCCCACUUUUAUUGUGAAACCUGAUGGUGGUUGUCAGGGUGAUGGAAUCUACCUCGUUAAAGACCCCAGUGACAUCCGCCUGGCAGGGACCCUUCAGAGCAGGCCAGCGGUGGUCCAGGAGUACAUCUGCAAGCCUCUUCUUAUCGACAAACUCAAGUUUGAUAUUCGUCUGUAUGUCUUACUCAAGUCCUUAGACCCCUUAGAGAUUUAUAUAGCCAAAGACGGACUCUCCAGAUUCUGCACAGAGCCAUAUCAGGAGCCCAACCCCCAAAAUCUGCACCACAUCUUUAUGCACUUAACCAACUACUCGCUGAACAUCCAUAGUGGUAACUUUGUCCAUUCGGACAGUACUAGCACGGGCAGCAAACGGACUUUUUCUAGCAUUCUUUGUAGGUUGUCUUCCAAAGGUGUUGACAUCAAGAAGGUCUGGUCUGAUAUCAUCUCCUUGGUGAUUAAGACUGUCAUUGCCCUGACUCCAGAGCUCAAGGUUUUCUACCAGUCGGACAUCCCUGCAGGGAGGCCGGGGCCCACAUGCUUCCAGAUUCUAGGCUUUGACAUCCUUCUGAUGAAAAAUCUGAAGCCUAUUCUCCUGGAAGUAAAUGCAAAUCCCAGCAUGAGAAUCGAACAUGAGCAAGAACUUUCUCCGGGGGUCUUUGAAAAUGUCCCCAGCCUUGUCGAUGAAGAAGUGAAGGUGGCCGUGAUCAGAGACACACUACGCCUGAUGGACCCACUUAAGAAGAAAAGAGAGAACCACUUUCCAGAUAUCUAUACGGACAGAAAACACAGAUUCCCUCCGGUUUCUGACAGAAUGCCUUCAUCACAGCUUCCCGUAGUCAGGUCUCAGCAGCUUACGAAGCCAUUAGCUGCAAAGGAGGAUCCUUCCGACAGUGAGCCGGCCAGCGCCUCCGACGGCAACACGGAUCCCGAAGCCCACCUGCCCUCCAUCUGCCUUAAGCAGGUGUUCCCCAAGUAUGCCAAGCAAUUCAACUACCUGCGCCUGGUGGACAGGAUGGCAAAUUUGUUUAUCCGGUUCCUGGGGAUCAAGGGGACGAUGAAGUUGGGACCAACAGGCUUUCGGACUUUUAUAAGUUAUUUGAGGAACUGCAUCCCAGGGCAUAAGAGGAAACGCUACCAAGAUUAAGAGCUACCAAGGCUUCAUGUUUUUACCCCAGACUCUGAGAUCUCUUCCACCCUCUGAGAGUGGUAUCCAAGACAGAUUGCACUCUGUGUCACUCACUGGGCUCAGAAUCCCACCUACACAUCGUGGACACAAAAUCAAUUCUGCACCGAGUGGAUGGAUAGAUGAUAAAGUCAUUCGAAAGUCUUGACCCUCCAAACAAGGAGGCUUUUCCUGUUCGCGUCAAUGAGAAUGUUGAGUGGCCAUGGGGACAAACCUAGGAGAAUCUGUCUCCAAGUGACCCUGGUUGUCUUCCCCCAGCCUUAUAUCCCAAAGCUUCCCAACAGGGUCUCUCUAGAGGCUCUGGCCUUACUGGGCCCUGCCUGGGACUAUGUCUCAAAUCCCAGGUUCCUCCUGCAGCCCUGGGCUGGGCCAUCUCCCUACUUCUCCCCAGAGCUCCUAAGUCCACUACUCUGUCCUCCAAGCGAGGACUGGAUGUGAAUCCCAGCUGUGUGAUCUUGGGUAAGCUAUGUCCCUUCUCUUGAGUCUCAGCUUACCUGUCCCUGGAAUGGGACUAACAGUACUUCCUUUGUCGGGUGGUUGUAAAGAUGGACAGGAAAGGGCCUGGCAUACUAAAUGGGUGCCCGAGAAAUAAAAGAAUCAAAAUUCUUUUAAAGCAUCUCCUGUCUCCUGCAGCCAGCAUGGGUCCCUCCUUCCCCUGUCCCCAUACCAGAUGUUACAAUCAACUGUAUUUGCAGGCAUCACUAGGGAGGAUGAGUUACCUCGGAAAAGGGAUAAACGGAGAAUUCUCUUUGGUAAAUUACGGCCCCUGCUAAAGGUUUGACACUUCUAUUUUCUACCUGUCAGAAAAAAAUAACUAUAUACCAGUGGUCAGUUUGGUUUCCCUUUUUAUACUCCAUUAACCCACAGAGCAAGCCAGGCAGAGCUCCUGUCCCGUGGGGGAGCAGGUAGUCCAGAGGACACUGAUACAAUAAUUAGAGAAAAGUGGUGGCCCUUCCUAAUGAAGCUUGGAAAAUGAGCAGCGCAGGUUGUUGGAACACCUUGGGAGAGACUGGAGCGUCGUCUCCGGUGGAGCCCAAUAGAGAUAGCCAUCUUGGUGACAGGCGACAUGAAAAGCUCUGCGUCCAUUGACAUGUUGUUACCGGGGUUCAAUAGCUGUGCGCUGAUGUGUUUGAAGUCCGCCACCGGUGACUUGUGAUUGAAAUACGGAGCAGGAGCCCAGGAGGAAGCAGGAUGUGAAUUGAUGGCCUGAGAAAUACUGGCAGGGAAGAAAGGAAGGAAGAGGGAGGGCGGGAGGGAGGGAGCCAGUGUGCUGGCAUAUAAGGAACACCAGCCUCGUCUGGGCACCAUGCCGGGCACGCUCACGGCCUCCAUCAUCGGGGUGUGUGUGGGUUUGGAGGGGGGCCUCGGGGGUGCCCAAAUCCUGCUUGCCAGUCAACCCCUCUCCUGUCGGGCUUCUAAGGGACCUAUUCACACGAGGGCUGAUGACAAAUGGGAAAUCAAAGAACCACUUUAUCAUUAGCUGGGCCAAUGGAUGAGGCCAUAUUUGGAGAGUUGAAAGCAGCAUUGAGCGUAAUGUGGCCAAACGGACAGCUGGCCCAGAGGUAUGACUCCAGGAUCACGAGGGCAAAUCCAGCUUGUGUUGGGACUCGCUUCCCAACACGACCCUGUUCAGGAAGGUGGUGCAUCUGGACAAGCCAGGGGCUACCUUUAGUCUGGAUGGAGAGCCCGGGGCCCUGACAUCCAGACGCUCUGACUGGUGAGCUCCGUUUCUCCAGAAUGGACGGGGCCACUUGCUGAAGGGUCAGCCCCAAGCAGCCUCCGAAGAUCCCACGCUCUAGCUCUGGAAGAGGAAACGAAAAGUGGGGAGCGGUUGGGAAGAGAACCAACAACGGUGGGCCAACCGGGCGCCAGGCACCACGCCGGGUCCUUGGCCCGCACCGCCUCAUCCUUCUUCACCGCCGCCAUGGGGGCGGAUACUAUUCUCUUCAUUUUAGGUAGCAGCAAAUGAAGGCACUGAAGGUUUAAGUAAAUGCUCACGGUCACAUAGCUAGAAAAAGCAGCAGAGCCAGGGUUUCUAUCCUGGUCUGUCUGAUGCCCAAAUCACGCUCUUUUCAGUGUGCCAGACUGCCUCCCCACAUCUCCAGACCAAAAAAAAAAAAAAAAAAAAAAAACCCCAAACCUAGAGGGGAGGCAGAGGAUUGCAAACAUGCCUUUGUGGCUUGGACAGGGAGCAGAUGUGGGGCUGAAAACCUGGUUACCUUGGCCUCUGUGCACUGGAGGAAAUAAACCGGGGGAGCCUCCGAAAGUCUGACGCCAGCCUCUCCCCACCCCUGCUGCUUCCAGGUGACUCCCCAAAGUCAGGACUGAGCGUGGAGGGGUGUGGGCCAGCCGCGCUCAUCUGCGCUGGGAGUCUCGGGCUCACCGUUCGGGACCCACAUGAAAUCUUCAGGUGACAGAUUCCAAUGGGUGACGUGCAGGAACCUCCAGCCCCUGUCUGUAGGUUUGGGCCCAGGGAUGCAUCCGGGAAGCUUUCCAGUGGGGAAUCACUUCCGGACAGAAGCGGCACCUUCCGUCUGUUUGGGUGACAGUGCUGUUUUCAUUGGGCCAUCCGAGUGUGCCACUGUCAGCUGCCUGGGCACUGGAACUGCAAACUCAGCAGCAGCAGCUUGUCCAUGGCGGCCGUGGACAUCCUCUACAUUGACAUCACCAGGAGGUGGAACUCUAUGACCCUGGACCAGCG
Neofelis nebulosa (Clouded leopard) is the source of this 4846-nucleotide RNA transcript. It is a transcript of the gene named tubulin tyrosine ligase like 11, with no coding region annotated. The record is from RefSeq and is a predicted model, not a curated record. Lineage: Eukaryota; Metazoa; Chordata; Mammalia; Carnivora; Felidae. The transcript is spliced from 10 exons.